This 203-nucleotide ribosomal RNA is filed under the name uncultured bacterium. RNAcentral describes it as "partial 16S ribosomal RNA". It matches the Rfam family "Bacterial small subunit ribosomal RNA", at positions 524 to 726 of the family's 1533-position model. The record is from RNAcentral.
UACGUAGGGGGCAAGCGUUGUCCGGAUUUAUUGGGCGUAAAGAGCGUGUAGGCGGCCUGAAAGGUCAGCUGUGAAAACUCGAGGCUCAACCUCGAGACGUCGGUUGAAACCAUCUGGCUAGAGUCCGGAAGAGGAGUGUGGAAUUCCCGGUGUAGCGGUGAAAUGCGCAGAUAUCAGGAGGAACACCGAUGGCGAAGGCAGGU